AAGGGAAAGGGAAAGGGAAAAAAAUGGUAAUGGCAGCGACAGAGGAAAGUCCGAGAAGCCCAGAGGCUAAGGUGGGGAUGCAAGUAGAAGAUUUAUGGGAUAUUCAAGAACCGCAGCUCAGUCCUACUGAAAAGCUUAAUGCUUGCUUUGAAAGCAUCCCUGUUUCUGCCUUUCCUCCUGCCCCUUCUCAUCAAGGAAUUGAGAUAAAAUCGGACAGCAGUUUAGCUGAAGCGGUUCAAAUUUUGGCUGAACAUAAGAUCCUCAGUGCGCCUGUGGUGGACGUGGAUGCACCUGAUCAUGCGAGUUGGAUUGAUAGAUACAUUGGUAUUGUUGAGUUUGCUGGCAUUGUUGUUUGGAUUCUUCAUCAGUCGGAACCUCCAUCCCCGAGAAGUCCU
This 395-nucleotide unclassified non-coding RNA is filed under the name Hevea brasiliensis (rubber tree). Lineage: Eukaryota; Viridiplantae; Streptophyta; Magnoliopsida; Malpighiales; Euphorbiaceae. The record is from RNAcentral.